AGUCACUAGGUCAUCUCAGCUGAAGGCCCUUAGUCAGUUAAACUUCCAGCUGACUGCACUCACCAGCCUGAGUGCAGAGGCCCGCAGGAGGGUAACGACCCACAGAAGCAUAGCUCCAAUUGCCAAACCUCAAAACUUUAUGGCAUGAGAGAUUUUACUUGGAGCAUGCAGGAUCUGGUUCCCUGACCAGGGAUCAAACCUGGGCCCCCUGCAUAGGGGAGUGGGGAGUCAUAACCACUGGACCACCAGGGGAGUCUCUUGAAGAUUUUAUCACUGCAUUCCUCGCUGCAGGAGACAGAGCCUGGCCUGCGUGCAAGGAGCGCUGGCUGCAGGGCAGUAGGGAAGUGUGUGGUGCACACUGACGCACACUCGCAUGUUUCCUCCCUGAUACAGCUGUGUCCAGUGCACAGAAGCCGUGGAUACUUGUCAGCAGAUGGACCCCACAGUCUGUCUUUGAUCCUGUCCCUGUAGACUGGGGAGCCGAGGCCAGCAAGGGAAGACUGCCCAGCUGGGCCCCCGCUGUCUGGCUCUUGGGAUCAGGGUAAAGGCACAGAGCAGCAGAGGAAUUUUCCAGAGAGAGUACCUCACCUGGAAAUCCUGGGCACCCUUCUCAAUAGUUUUCUGACUACUGAAGAAGGAAAACUUUCUGUCUAACUAAUGAUCCAGAAAAGUCUGGGGAAGAACUUUGGCCCAGCUGGGGCCAUUUGCUUACUUCUCAGACUACAUACUGUGGACAAAGGGACAGAGAGACUGUGGUCGGCAAUUCCAGAAAUUGGAUGAAGUGAGGAAGGAGCAUGUCCUUGAAGAAGGUCAUUGUUCUGAUGAGAUAGAUGAUAAAUGUUCUCUAAAUCAAGUCUAUAAUAUCGCUGUGAACCAAGAGUUCUAGACUGAGAACAGAAUACAAUUACACUGCAAAAAACCUCUGUGGAGACUCUUUGGGGGCUGUGCUGGAUCUUCAUGCUGCACACAAGCUUUCUCUAGUUGCAGCGAGUGGGGGUUACUCUCCAGCUGCUGUGUGCAGGCUUCUCACUGUGGUGGCUUCUCUCGUUGUGAAGCACAGGCUCUAGAAUGUGAGGGAUUCAUUAGUUGUGCACUGGUUUAGUUGCCUCUUGGCAUGUGGGAUCUUCCCAAGCUAGGGAUUGAACCAGUGUCCCUUGAAUUGCAAGGUGGAUUCCUAACCAAUGGACCAUGAGGUAAGCCCCAAAGACGUUUUUAGUUUUUUUUUUUUUUCCCUACACUCCCUUAAAUUUUUUUUUUCCAAAGACUUUUAAAAAUGAUUAUUAUGAUAAAAGUUUCAUUAUGCCAGCAAGUCAAAACAACUAAAAAUGUUAUGCACUUAAUACAGACUGCAAAUAUAUGGUCAAAAUUGAUAGAAAUACAAGGAUAAGUAGACAAAUCCACAAUCAUAGUGGAAAAUAUUAAUGUACUCUUCUGAUUUACUAUAUCACAAAGAUAAAAACCAUUAAGGCCACGGACAAUUUGAAGUACACAAUCCCAUUUGACCUGAAAGAAACUCUGCACCCAAUAGUGGCAGACUUACAUAUUCUUUUCAAACACACAGUUUGGGAAAAUUGGUCCAUGAAACAGGUAUCAACAUAGGCCAAAGAAUCAGUACCAUACCGGUCAUGUUCUCUGAGCUAAACGUGAUUCACCUAGAUUCCACUUCCUGUGUGGCCAAGGAGGCUCCUAAUAAAGUGAUUCAGCAAAGGGAACUAACAACUCGAACAAAAUAUGAAAUAACUGCCUUAAAGGCUCCAGGGAGUGAAACAAAGCAGGCACAUUUGGGAUGGGAGUAACCCUUGGAGGAAGGGAUUAGCCUCGAGUGACUUCACCAUUUUGAUAGGGUUUCACUUGAAACUACCUUUGAAAAGGAAACAACGCAGAAUAACUUUUGGCCAUGUGUAUGAGCUUAGUCACUCAGUGGCAACUGUGGCCCCAUGGACUGCAGCCUGCCAGGCUCCUCUGCCCAUGGGGAUUCUCCAGGCAAGAAUACUGGAGUGGGUUGCCGUUUCCUUCUCCAGGGGACCUUCCCGACCCAGGGAUCAAAACUAUCUCCUGUAUUGCAGGCAGAUUCUUGACCCUCUGAGCCACCAGCGAAGCCCCAGCUUUUGACGGUGCUCCUCAUUUAUUCACUGAUUGCUUGAUGGGUGAGAUCAAUUAACUUCAGGUAGAGAUUUGGUUACUACUCAACAGAUGUCUUGGUGAAAGCAUAUGCCCAGCCUUGUCCCAGCCAAAUAAUUGAUAUGGUUGGCCAAAAACAUUUUUCCAACUCCUCUAAAAUCAAUUAUUUGAACUUACCCCUUAGUCUAUCUGAACUCCCUCAACCCAUUCAACCAUGAUCAUGAUUCUGAAACCGAGUAGUCCUAGCUUACUUGGCUACCUUUGAAAAUUCAUUCCAAAAAGAUGCAUGUUGACAUAGACAUGGAAAAUUAGACAUUAUUUACUAGUCCUUCCUCCUUUUCUCCUCCCUUCCUCCCCUCCAGUAUGUUGGUAAUAAAUGUAAUACCUCUGAAAUCGUCCUUGUUAGAUUAGUAGCAGGUCACUAAGUCAGUGAUGGGUUUGUAAUUAGGGUGAAGUUCUUUCUAUUUGCCCAUAUUACUUUUUUAACCAUGCGUAAAGUCUCACUAAUGAAGUGGAAAUCUGAUAAAUUGAGACAGUUUAAACUGCAUUCUUGUGGCUUAUGUGUAUUUGCAACAGUUUUGAAUGGGAAAGACCCAAGGACAUACCAAUACACUUGCUAAAAGUUCAAUGAAUUGAUCAGGGCUGCCGAGAGAUGAAUAAGGAACACACGAAAAACCAGAAACUGCCAAAAGAUAGACAAUAGUAGCCUAUGUAAAAAACAAAUAAAAAACUUUAAAAAGGUGGAGCUGCUUUUUCACUCUUGCAUGGAGAAGAUACUCUUGGCAGAAGGCGCCUGUGAUGAGUCAAGGAAAUGAUUUUGAUUAUGAGGAAUUUUUUUAAAGAAGGAAAAUAGGGCAUAUUUAUAACUUGUCAGUUAUUGUAAGUUUUAUGGCUGUGACUUAUUAGCUGCCAAACAAGCAAGUGAAUGUUUUUCUGUCUCCUGGCAGUCUCUCAGUCACCAUUCUUGAUGCCUUAUUAACAAAAAUUAAAUGGUAUGUCAGUAAGAUGGCUUUUAUUUCAACACACAAAUGUUUUUAAUAAGUUUUAAAAGUGGAAAUAAUUAAACCCAUUUUCUCUUUUCAGAAGAUGUUUCAACUUUGCUUGUAAGCUGUUAAUAAGCUUGAAAUCCAAAUUUUAAAAAAUUCAUACAAAACAAGGUUAAAGAGGAAUCUGAUGGGAUGUUAAGAGUGGUUCUCUUAUGAAUGGGAUUUUAGUUAAUAUUACUUUCCUCUAUUUUUCUACUCUAAAUAUACACUUGUAAAUCAGGAGGGAAGUUAUUAAAGUGGAAAACAUCUCUGACAAAGACCAUAUUACAACUAGUCCAUUUCUCAAGGCAAUCAUUUCAUUUAUAUAAAC
Long non-coding RNA from Bos taurus (domestic cattle), 3477 nucleotides. Lineage: Eukaryota; Metazoa; Chordata; Mammalia; Artiodactyla; Bovidae. The record is from Ensembl.